UGCAUGUAUUUCUGUGCACCAUGUGCAUCCA
RNAcentral lists this non-coding RNA (31 nucleotides) under Mus musculus (house mouse). The record is from RNAcentral. Lineage: Eukaryota; Metazoa; Chordata; Mammalia; Rodentia; Muridae.